AUUGAACGCUGGCGGCAUGCUUUACACAUGCAAGUCGAACGGUAACAGGCCGUCGGGUGCUGACGAGUGGCGAACGGGUGAGUAAUGCACCGGAACGUACCCAGAGGUGGGGGAAAACGCAGCGAAAUCUGUGCUAAUACUUCAGGUGCUCUGAGUAUGAAACCGGGGGACGGACCGGCAAGGUUUAGCCUCGCGCCUUUGGAGAGGCCUAUGUAGGCUUAGCUAGUUGGUGGGGUAAAGGCCUACGACGGCGACAAUGCGUAUCUGCUACGAGAGGAAGAACAGCCAGACUGAGACUGAGACACGGCAGAGACUCCUGCAGGAGGCAGCAGCGGGGAAUUUUGGAGAAUGGGGCCAAGGGGAAUAUAGCAAUGUCGCGUGAAGCAAGAAGGCGUUCUGCCUGUAGAGCGAUUUUGGCAGGAACGUUGUGGUGUCCUCUAAUACCGGACGAUAAUGACAGUACCUGCAGAAUAAGCUCCGGCUAACUCCGUG
RNAcentral lists this ribosomal RNA (492 nucleotides) under uncultured bacterium. RNAcentral describes it as "partial 16S ribosomal RNA". It matches the Rfam family "Bacterial small subunit ribosomal RNA", at positions 30 to 507 of the family's 1533-position model. The record is from RNAcentral.